ACGGGCCCUUUCGGGGGUUGGGUUAUAACCUUCUUUCAGUAAGGGAAGGAAGCGAAAAGUGGACGGUACCUUGCAGAAGAAAGCACCGGCUUAACUACGUGCCAGCAGCCGCGGUAAUACGUAGGGUGCGAGCGUUAUCCGGAAUUAUUGGGCGUAAAGAGCUCGUAGGCGGUUUGUCGCGUCUGUCGUGAAAGUCCGGGGCUUAACCCCGGGAUCUGCGGUGGGUACGGGCAGACUAGAGUGCAGUAGGGGAGACUGGAAUUCCUGGUGUAGCGGUGGAAUGCGCAGAUAUCAGGAGGAACACCGAUGGCGAAGGCAGGUCUCUGGGCUGUAACUGACGCUGAGGAGCGAAAGCAUGGGGAGCGAACAGGAUUAGAUACCCUGGUAGUCCAUGCCGUAAACGUUGGGCACUAGGUGUGGGGACCAUUCCACGGUUUCCGCGCCGCAGCUAACGCAUUAAGUGCCCCGCCUGGGGAGUACGGCCGCAAGGCUAAAACUCAAAGGAAUUGACGGGGGCCCGCACAAGCGGCGGAGCAUGCGGAUUAAUUCGAUGCAACGCGAAGAACCUUACCAAGGCUUGACAUGUUCUCGAUCGCCGUAGAGAUACGGUUUCCCCUUUGGGGCGGGUUCACAGGUGGUGCAUGGUUGUCGUCAGCUCGUGUCGUGAGAUGUUGGGUUAAGUCCCGCAACGAGCGCAACCCUCGUUCCAUGUUGCCAGCACGUAAUGGUGGGGACUCAUGGGAGACUGCCGGGGUCAACUCGGAGGAAGGUGAGGACGACGUCAAAUCAUCAUGCCCCUUAUGUCUUGGGCUUCACGCAUGCUACAAUGGCCGGUACAAUGGGUUGCGAUACUGUGAGGUGGAGCUAAUCCCAAAAAGCCGGUGUCAGUUCGGAUUGGGGUCUGCAACUCGACCCCAUGAAGUCGGAGUCGCUAGUAAUCGCAGAUCAGCAACGCUG
This 957-nucleotide ribosomal RNA is filed under the name Micrococcus sp. Its description in RNAcentral is "bacterial SSU rRNA". It matches the Rfam family "Bacterial small subunit ribosomal RNA", at positions 408 to 1359 of the family's 1533-position model. Lineage: Bacteria; Bacillati; Actinomycetota; Actinomycetes; Micrococcales; Micrococcaceae. The record is from RNAcentral.